This 949-nucleotide long non-coding RNA is filed under the name Equus asinus (donkey). RNAcentral describes it as "lncRNA (ENSEASG00005026513.1)". Lineage: Eukaryota; Metazoa; Chordata; Mammalia; Perissodactyla; Equidae. The record is from RNAcentral.
GGCAAUCUUAUUUUAUGUCUCCUAUUUAAAAUAAAUAAAUAAAAUGAAAAGUAAUGGUUCCCAAGCAAACCAUAUAAUUACAUUUCUCUCUGGGUUCCUGAUUCAAGGUUCUUGUGGAAGAAGAGAAUAAAGAGCAUCUAGGAAUGAGGCAAAUGAUACUUCCAGUUUGGGUAUUUAUUUGCUCUGCAGCCGUGGCCUGAGCUUACCUGAACUCAGUUCUCAUUGGCUCCAUUCAGUGUUUGGGGGAAGCCUACCAUGGCCAGGCCCUGUGCUGACGCAGCCCUCAGUGCCAUCCUGCCUCUUGUAGCUCAGAUCAUGACAUGAAGAUCAGGCUUCCUCAUCCCAAAUUUCUUGCUUUCGCUGCCCUGGGACUACUAUAGGGAAAGCAGCAAGUUGGGAAGAAUGCAUGCAAGCUGUGGCUUAGGCAGACCUGGCGUGGAUCCCAGUGCUCAGCACUGCCUCUCAACAGCUGUUGACCCCUAGGAAUUUAUGGUCUGGUGGAGAAUCUGGCAGAUCAACAGACAAUUGCCAUCCUGGAAUGAACCCAGGGAAGAAGAAACUGAGACAUGGGAUAGUUAAGUAGUUUGCUGAAGAUCACAUGGCCAGAUAGUGAUGGAGUCAAGAUUUGAACCUGGGCGUGUGACUCUAGGACUGGGCAUUGGGCCCCUCUCCUACACUGCCUCCGAUCAUGAAUUAUAAAAUGGAAAUAAACGUAUUGUGUCCUUCCCGGUGUGUUGUGAUGUUCCAGUGGGAUAAUCGCUUGACAGCAAUGGGCACAGUGGCUGCAUGCAAAACAGUGUGAGCUACUGUAGGUGUGAUUUAUCAUGGCCUCUCUCUGGCCUUGCUACCCUUUCUGUUUCUCCUCAGCCUCCUUUAGAUGAUUCUCUGAACUUCACAAGACUUUCAGCUUCUUAGGUUAAGGACAUGAUGUCUAUUUGGCAUGUGUGGA